GUUUAUAGCCAGUUUGCAAAGCCUUGCUGCUAUAGGCUUGAAAAGUAUCAUUUUGUUCUGGAGACUGCCCCUUUUCCUGGGGAAAGAAGGCUCCAUUUUGAGAAGCCUCUUGCCUUCUAGACUGAAGAAGAAACAACUUAGAUGUGUGGCCAAGCCAGGCCAACUCUGACAAGGCCAUCAUCUCUCCCUGAAUGAUUUCAGUUAAGACUUGAGAAGGCACCUCUGCUUGAAAACCCUGGGAGCCAAGAAGGAGACUCAGAAAAAGGUUUUGCCAGUGAAAGGGCAUAUUGAGAAGAAUGGUGAUGAGACCCUUGCAGAUGUUUUGGCCAGGCUACAAGUCCUGAAGGAAGUAAACGGCCUGACGAUACCCCUUCCAGUAAUACCUAGGUCCUGCAGGAGCAACAGAAGAUAACAGGCUGUGGAGAACACCAAAGAAGUGGCUCAAAGAAGACUAUCACUUCUGCUCAGUUAUGCACUUGGAAGAUUGCACUUCAAAUACUGAUCACAAUGAAAAUAAGAAAUAAACAUGGCCCUAGUUUUACUCCAGAAUUUAUUGGCAUAUUAUGUGCCAUGGGUAUGCAAUUAGUUUUCAACAGUCAGCAUACCAAAGGAUUAAGAAGCCAUGGUUCAUUUAUAUGUAUUUAUUUAUUUAUUUAAGUACAGGCAGUCCCAAGUUAUGAACAAGAUAGGUUCUGUAGGUUUGGUCUUCAGUGAAAUGUGUAUGUAAGUCAGAACAGGUACAUUUUUUAAGUGUAACUCCAGUUAUAUAUACAAACAGAGAGCGAGGGGGCAGGGUUCCUUUGUUGUCCGUGUUCAGAAGAUUUCACCUGACUUUCUGUCCCUGUGAUCACUGGAUUUUAAAAAAUUUGGCUUGUUGUGGAAACGAGGAUUGUUGAGAAAACUACAGUUGAGACACCUUUUCCCCAUAGUAACUCUUUCAGGAGUGAAUUUCUCUUUCUAGGAGUAGAUUUCUCUCACUUCAUGUUGUCUCAGGUAAGAGAGGAACUAUGAGUCACUUAUAAGUCUGAUGUCUGUAACUUGGGAACUGCCUAUAUAAGCUCUACUGAUCUUGGUGGGCAUAUCAACAAGUGAUUCCAUAUAAUAUUUUCAGUUCCUCGCCUGAUAUGAACCCACUAAGUAAUUUAAAGGCAUCUGAAGUAAACACAGGUUUAAACCAAAACCUAGUUCCUCAAGAAUGGAUGCAGAAGCCUAGCACAGAACAAUAUGUCAUAUCGGUAUGGCAGGUUUAACAAUAAUAUUACCCUUGUAAGUGAGCAAACCCAAUUGCCAUAGCAACCAGCAAGAAAUGUGUUUGGAAAAGGCCAGCAGCAACAAGCAGGGAAACUGAGCUAAAAUCAACAGACUUUAAAAGAUUUUUAUGUAUGCAUUUAAAUAUGUAUACCUUGCUUUUCCAUCUUAUCCAUUGGACCCCAAAGGUAGCUAGCAACCAAAUUUAAAAUACAUCAUUAGAAAAUUCAAGAAAAAAACAACACAGCAGAAUAUAUUUCCAUUUAACUCUGGCCAAAAUGGAAAAGAAGGAUCCUCAGCUACUCAUUUCAUAUAAAGCACAAAAAUACUAGAUUUGAUCCAUAUAUAUA
This is a long non-coding RNA of Anolis carolinensis (green anole), 1598 nucleotides long. RefSeq lists it as uncharacterized. Lineage: Eukaryota; Metazoa; Chordata; Lepidosauria; Squamata; Anolidae. The transcript is spliced from 4 exons. The record is from RefSeq and is a predicted model, not a curated record.